UACGAAGGGGGCUAGCGUUGUUCGGAAUUACUGGGCGUAAAGCGCGCGCAGGCGGCCAUUCAAGUCAGGGGUGAAAGCCCAGAGCUCAACUCUGGAACUGCCCUUGAAACUGUAUGGCUUGAGUAUGAGAGAGGUGAGUGGAAUUCCCAGUGUAGAGGUGAAAUGCGCAGAUAUCAGGAGGAACACCAAUGGCGAAGGCAGCUCGCUGGGACGGUACUGACGCUGAGACGCGAAAGCGUGGGGAGCAAACAGG
Molecule: ribosomal RNA, 253 nt
Filed under: uncultured bacterium
Lineage: Bacteria
Description: partial 16S ribosomal RNA
Rfam family: Bacterial small subunit ribosomal RNA
Source: RNAcentral